Molecule: RNA transcript, 1365 nt
Organism: Cebus imitator (Panamanian white-faced capuchin)
Lineage: Eukaryota; Metazoa; Chordata; Mammalia; Primates; Cebidae
Gene name: keratin, type I cytoskeletal 18-like
Exons: 1
Source: RefSeq, a predicted model, not a curated record
GCAGCAUGAGCUUCGCCACUCACUCCACCUUCUCCACCAACUACGGGUCCGUGGGCUCCGUCCGGGUGCCCAGCUACGGCGCCUGGCCGGUCAGCAGCGCGGCCAUCGUCUGUGCAGGCACCGGAGGCACUGGUUCCCGCAUCUCCGUGAUGCGCUCUGCCAGCUUCCGGAGCAGCAUGGGGGUCGGGGACCUGGCUGCGGGGAUGGCCGGGGGUCUGGCAGGAAUGGGAGGCAUCCAGAACGAGAAGGAGACCAUGUAAAGCCUGAACGACUGCCUGGCGUCCUACCUGGACAGAGUGAGGAGCCUGGAGACCGAGAACCAGAAGCUGGAAAGCAAAAUCCGGGAGCCCCUGGAGAAGAAGGGACCCCAGGUCAGACACUGGGGACAUUACUUCAAGACCAUCGGGGACCUGAGGGCUCAGAUCUUUGCAAAUACUGUGGACAAUGCCCGCAUCGUUCUGCAGAUUGACAGUGCCCGUCUUGCUGCUGAUGACUUUAGGGUCAAGUAUGAGACAGAGCUGGCCAUGCGCCAGUCUGUGGAGAGCGACAUCCAUGGGCUCCACAAGGUCAUCGAUGACACCAAUGUCACUCGGCUGCAGCUGGAGACAGAGAUCGAGGCUCUCAAGGAGGAGCUGCUCUUCAUGAAGAAGAACCAUGAAGAGGAAGUAAACGGCCUCCAAGCCCAGAUUGCCGGCUCCUGGUUGACCAUGGAGGUAGAUGCUCCCAAAUCUCAGGACCUCGCCAAGAAGGUCUGAGAGGAGCUGGAAAAGUACUGGACUCUUCUUCGCCAAGAAGAACCGAGAGGAGCUGGACAAGUACUGGACUCAACUGCUUGAGGAGAGCACCAUAGUGGUCACCACAGAGUCCACUGAGGUUGAAGCUGCUGAGAUGACGCUCGCAGAGCUGAGACGUACAGUCCAGUCCUUGGACGACCUGAACUUCAUGAGAAAUACAAAGAUCAGCUUGGAGAACAGCCUGAGGGAGAUGGAGGCCUGCUAUGCCCUGCAGAUGGAGCAGCUCAAUGGGAUCCUUCUGCCCCUGGAGUCAGAGCUGGCACAGACCUGGGCAGAGGGACAGCGCCAGGCCCAGGAGUACGAGGCUCUGCUGAACAUCAAGGUCAAGCUGGAGGCUGAGAUCGCCACCUACUGCCGCCUGCUGGAAGAUGGCGGGGACUUCAGUCUUAGUGAUGCCCUGGACAGCAGCAACUCCAUGCAAACCAUCCAAAAGACCACCACCCGCCGGAUAGUGGAUGGCAAAGUGGUGUGUGAUACCAACAACAUCAAAGUUCUGAGACAUUAGGCCAGCAGAAGCAGGGGACCCUUUGGGGAGCAGGAGGCCAAUAAAAAGUUCAGAGGUCAAAAAAAA